GUGCCAGCCGCCGCGGUAAUACCGGCAGCCCGAGUGAUGGCCGAUCUUAUUGGGCCUAAAGCGUCCGUAGCUGGGUCUGAAAGUCCAUCGGGAAACCCACUCGCUCAACGAGUGGCCGUCCGACGGAAACUGCACAGCUUGGGACCGGAAGGCUCGAAGGGUACGUUCGGGGUAGGAGUGAAAUCCCAUAAUCCCGCACGGACCACCGAUGGCGAAAGCACUUCGAGAAAACGGAUCCGACAGUGAGGGACGAAGGCUAGGGUCUCGAACCGGAUUAGAUACCCUUGUAGUCC
RNAcentral lists this ribosomal RNA (293 nucleotides) under uncultured bacterium. RNAcentral describes it as "partial 16S ribosomal RNA". It matches the Rfam family "Archaeal small subunit ribosomal RNA", at positions 455 to 747 of the family's 1478-position model. The record is from RNAcentral.